RNAcentral lists this ribosomal RNA (2819 nucleotides) under Thermoflexibacter ruber. RNAcentral describes it as "bacterial LSU rRNA". It matches the Rfam family "Bacterial large subunit ribosomal RNA". The record is from RNAcentral. Lineage: Bacteria; Pseudomonadati; Bacteroidota; Cytophagia; Cytophagales; Thermoflexibacteraceae.
AAAUUAGGAAAGAAAGAAGGGCGCAUGGGGGAUGCCUAGGCUCUUGGAGGCGAAGAAGGACGUGAUAAGCUGCGAAAAGUUUUGGGGAGGUGCACAUGACCUAUGAUCCAAAGAUGUCCGAAUGGGGUAACCCGGUAGGUUGAAGACCUAUCACAUCGUAAGAUGAGCGAACUCAGGGAACUGAAACAUCUAAGUACCUGAAGGAAAAGAAAACAACAGUGAUACUGUGAGUAGUGGCGAGCGAAAACAGUGGAGCCCAAACCAACAUUGUUACGGCAGUGUUGGGGUUAAAGGACGGCAAGGAGUAAUUAGGCGAGAAUUAGAAUUUGUUGGGAAACAAAGCCGUAGAGAGUGAAAGCCUCGUAUAAGUAAUCAAAUAAUUACGUGCUGCAUCCUGAGUAUGGGGAAACCGGAGGAAUUUCCCUUGAAGUAGCCAGCACCAUCUGGCAAGGCUAAAUACUACCAAGAGACCGAUAGUGAACCAGUACUGUGAAGGAAAGGUGAAAAGAACCUCAGAUAGAGGAGUGCAAAGAACCUGAAACCGUGCGCUUACAAGCGGUCGGAGCGGAGCGAUUCCGUGACGUCGUGCCUUUUGCAUAAUGAGCCUACGAGUUACGUCUUGCUGGCAAGAUUAAUUACUUGAGGUAAGGAGUCGGAGCGAAAGCGAGUCUGAAAAGGGCGUUAAGUCAGCAGGAGUAGACGCGAAACUUUGUGAUCUACCCUUGGUCAGGAUGAAGUGUGGGUAAAGCCACAUGGAGGUCCGAACUAGUAAACGUUGAAAAGUUUUUGGAUGAACUGAGGGUAGGGGUGAAAGGCUAAUCAAACUGAGAAAUAGCUCGUACUCCCCGAAAUGUUUUUAGGAACAGCCUCUGAUAAUUAUGAUAGAGGUAGAGCUACCAAUAGGACUAGGGGGCUUCACCGCCUACCAAAUCCUGAUGAACUCCGAAUGCUAUCAUAUAGGUCAGGGAGUGAGGGCAUGGGUGCUAAGGUCCGUGUCCGAGAGGGAAAGAACCCAGACCAACCGCUAAGGUCCCUAAAUAUAGACUAAGUUGAACAAAGGCAGUUCAGCUACAGAGACAGCCAGGAUGUUGGCUUGGAAGCAGCCAUACAUUUAAAGAGUGCGUAACAGCUCACUGGUCGAGUGGCAGGGCAUCUAUGAUAAACGGGCAUCAAGUCUAUUACCGAAGCGAUGGGAUUUUAAAUCGGUAGGGGAGCAUUCUAAUAGCGUAGAAUCAGUACUGCGAGGUAUUGUGAAGCGAUUAGAAAAGCAAAUGUAGGCAUAAGUAACGAUAAUGCAGGUGAAAAACCUGCACACCGAAAGACUAAGGUUUCCCUAUUCAACGUUAAUCGGAAGGGGGUUAGUCGGGGGCUAAGGCGAAGCCGGUUGGCGAAGUCGAUGCACAACAGGUUAAUAUUCCUGUACUAGCAUAUUGAUAAAAGUGACGGAGUGACUACUUACUUGCGCACAAACGGUAAGUGCGUUAAAGCUGUAAGGCGAGAGUACACAAAUCCUACGGGUGCUGUGAUAAUAGUAAUAAAGACUUCCAAGAAAAGCGAGAUAUGCUACCCGUACCGCAAACCGACACAGGUAGUCGAGGAGAGAAUCCUAAGGUGCUCGAGUGAAUCAUGGCUAAGGAACUAGGCAAAAUGACCCUGUAACUUCGGGAGAAGGGGAGCCUACUUAGCAAUAAGAGGUCGCAGUGAAAAGGUCCAGGCGACUGUUUAACAAAAACACAUGUCUUUGCGAAAACGAAAGUUGAAGUAUAAGGACUGACACCUGCCCGGUGCUGGAAGGUUAAGGGGGGAUGUUAGGGGCAACCCGAAGCAUUGAACUGAAGCCCCAGUAAACGGCGGCCGUAACUAUAACGGUCCUAAGGUAGCGAAAUUCCUUGUCGGGUAAGUUCCGACCUGCACGAAUGGUGUAACGAUCUGGACGCUGUCUCAGCCAUGAGCUCGGUGAAAUUGAAGUAGCGGUGAAGAUGCCGCUUACCCGCCACGGGACGGAAAGACCCCGUGCACCUUUACUACAAUUUUGCAUUGAUAUUGGAUGAGUGAUGUGUAGGAUAGGCGGGAGACUGCGAACUGGUGGCGCCAGCCAUUAGGGAGUCGACGUUGAAAUACCGCCCUUUGCUUCUCUGGUGUCUAAUCUGGGAACGGAGACAUUGCAUGAUGGGUAGUUUGACUGGGGUGGUCGCCUCCGAAAGGGUAUCGGAGGCUUCCAAAGGUUCGUUCAGCACGCUUGGUAACCGUGCGUAGAGUGCAAUAGCAUAAACGAGCUUGACUGUGAGACUGACAAGUCGAGCAGGUGGGAAACCAGGGUAUAGUGAUCCGGUGGUUCUGUAUGGAAGGGCCAUCGCUCAUAGGAUAAAAGGUACGCCGGGGAUAACAGGCUGAUCUCCCCCAAGAGCUCACAUCGACGGGGAGGUUUGGCACCUCGAUGUCGGCUCGUCACAUCCUGGGGCUGGAGAAGGUCCCAAGGGUUCGGCUGUUCGCCGAUUAAAGUGGCACGCGAGCUGGGUUCAGAACGUCGUGAGACAGUUCGGUCCCUAUCUGUGGUGGGCGUAGGAAGUUUGCGAGGGGCUGACCUUAGUACGAGAGGACCGGGUUGGACGAACCUCUGGUGUAUCAGUUGUACUGCCCAGUGCAUCGCUGAGUAACUAUGUUCGGAAGAGAUAAGCGCUGAAAGCAUCUAAGUGCGAAACUCGCCUCAAGAUGAGACUUCCCAUGAAGGUCGUCAUAGACGAUGACGUAGAUAGGUUGCAGGUGUAAAGACAGUAAUGUCAAAGCCAAGCAAUACUAAUUACCUGAUAGAUUUCCUA